RNAcentral lists this long non-coding RNA (1002 nucleotides) under Homo sapiens (human). RNAcentral describes it as "HSALNT0006121". The record is from RNAcentral. Lineage: Eukaryota; Metazoa; Chordata; Mammalia; Primates; Hominidae.
GGCUCGCUGCAACCUUCAUCUCCUGGGUUCAAGCAAUUCUCCUGCCUCAGCUUGCCAAGUAGCUAGGGUUACAGGCAUGGGCCACCAUGCCAGCAAAUUUUUGUAUUUGUAGUACAGAUGGGGUUUCACCAUGUUGGCCAGGCUGGUCUUGAACUCCUGACCUCAAGUGAUCUGCCCGCCUACGCCUCCCAAAGUGCUGGGAUUACAGGAGUGAGCCACCGCGCCCAACCUGAUUUCCUUUCUUUUGAGUAUAUACCCAGCAGUGCAGGAACCUCCAAACUGUUCUCCAUGGUGGUUGUACUAAUUUACAUUCCCAACAACAGUGUACGAGCGUUCCCUUCUCUCCACAUCCUCGCCAGCAUUUGUGAUUGCCUGUGUUUUAGAAAUAAGCCAUUUGAACUGGGGUGAGAUGAUAUGGUAGUUUUGAUUUGCAUUUCUCUGAUGAUCAGUGAUGUUGAGCACCUUACAUAUGCCUGUUUGCCAUCUGUAUGUCUUCUUUUGAGAAAUGUCUAUUCAAAUCUUUUGCCCAUUUUUUGAUCAGAUUAUUAGUUUUUUCCUGCUUAGAGCUGAGCUCCUUAAAUAUUCUGGUUGUUAAUCCCUUGCCAGAUGGGUAGUUUGCAAAUAUUUUCUCCCAUUCUGUGGGUUGUCUCUUUACUUUGUUGAUUGUAUCCUUUGGUGUGCAGAAGCUUUUUAACUUGAUGUGAUCCCAUUUGUCCAUUUUUUGCUUUGGUUGCCUGUGCUUAUGGGGUAUUGUUCAAGGAAUUUUUGCCCAGACCAAUAUCCUGGAGAUUUCCCCCAGUGUUUUCUUGUAGUAGUUUCAUAGUUUCAUAGUUUGAGGUCUUAGAUUUAAGUCUUUAAUCCAUUUUGAUUUGAUUUUUGUGCAGUGCUGUACAUGUUCAGAGAAACUUCCCUAGCAACAAACUAUAGAAAUGAUCCCUAAAGUAUAGUGUUUAACAGUUCUGAGUCUGCUUUCUAAAGCAGCAACACUCUCUCAUCUUUCUC